RNAcentral lists this ribosomal RNA (460 nucleotides) under uncultured bacterium. Its description in RNAcentral is "partial 16S ribosomal RNA". It matches the Rfam family "Bacterial small subunit ribosomal RNA", at positions 338 to 795 of the family's 1533-position model. The record is from RNAcentral.
CCUACGGGAUGCAGCAGUGAGGAAUAUUGGUCAAUGGGCGCGAGCCUGAACCAGCCAAGUAGCGUGAAGGAUGACUGCCCUACGGGUUGUAACCUUCUUUUAUAAAGUAAUAAAGUGAGGCUCCUGUGCCUUUUUGUAUGGACUUUAUGAAUACCGAUCGGCUAACUCCGUGCCAGCAGCCGCGGUAAUACGGAGGAUCCGAGCGUUAUCCGGAUUUAUUGGGUUUAAAGGGAGCGUAUAUGGGUUGUUAAGUCAGGUGUGAAAGUUUGCGGCUCAACCGUACAAUUGCAAUUGAUACUGGCAGCCUUGAGUACAGUUGAGGUAGGCGGAAUUCGGGGUGUAGCGGUGAAAUGCUUAGAUAUCACGAAGAACUCCGAUUGCGAAGGCAGCUUACUAAACUGCCACUGACAUUGAUGCUCGAAAGUGUGGGUAGCAAACAGGAUUAGAUACCCUAGUAGUC